GAUGAACGCUAGCGGCAGGCUUAACACAUGCAAGUCGAGGGGUAUUGGUUUUCGGACCAAGAGACCGGCGCACGGGUGCGUAACGCGUAUGCAAUCUACCUUUUGCAGAGGGAUAGCCCCAGAGAAAUUUGGACUAAUACCUCAUAGUAUAGUACUUUGGCAUCAAGGAACUAUUAAAGUCACAACGGCAAAGAUGAGCAUGCGUCCCAUUAGCUAGUUGGUAAGGUAACGGCUUACCAAGGCUACGAUGGGUAGGGGUCCUGAGAGGGAGAUCCCCCACACUGGUACUGAGACACGGACCAGACUCCUACGGGAGGCAGCAGUGAGGAAUA
Molecule: ribosomal RNA, 332 nt
Filed under: uncultured bacterium
Lineage: Bacteria
Description: bacterial SSU rRNA
Rfam family: Bacterial small subunit ribosomal RNA
Source: RNAcentral